AUGGAUAUGCAUCCACCACCCAAAAUGCUUGCCUCUCUCACCAUCACCAUACUGAUUAUGGUCAUGGCCACCUCCGUCGCACUUGCGUCGUCGGAUGCAGUGGUGCUCGAGGGACAAGCAAGAGCACUCCUCGUCUGGAAAGAUAGCCCCGACAACCAAAGCCAGCAGGCCCUGCGCUCCUGGGGAAACACGUCGACGCCAUGCAACUGGCGCGGCAUCAGUUGCAAUACCGGUGUGCAGCAGCACCAGCAUUGGGCGGUGAUCAGCGGCAUCUCUUUGCGGGGUAUGCGGCUGAGAGGAGCUCUGGAGUCCCUCAACUUCUCGGCCUUGAGGACCUUGGCACGCCUCGACCUCUCAAACAACCUCCUCGCUGGGAGCAUUCCUCCUAGUAUCGAGGUCCUUGGCGAGCUCCAUGCUCUCCUUCUGCAAGGCAACCAGAUAAGAGGCUCAAUCCCACUAGGUCUAGGAAAUCUCACAAAAUUGCAUUCCUUAAUGCUUCACGAAAAUGAACUCUCCGGUGAAAUACCAAGCCAGAUAGGCAACAUGAGUAGUCUUGUCACCCUCAACUUGUCAAGCAAUCACUUGGUUGGUCAUAUCCCUUGUCAAAUAGGACACAUGAAGCACUUAGUUGCAUUAGAUUUGUCCAGUAAUGAUCUUUUCGGUAAAAUACCAAGCAGCAUAGGUGGUUUAACCGAACUCACUAGCUUGUACCUUUACAGUAACAAACUUUCUGGACAAAUUCCACGAGAACUAGGUUAUCUUCUAAACUUAAAGGACCUACAACUUGGCAUCAACGCACUCUCAGGUUCCGUCCCACGAAAUUUACAUAAUUUGACCAAGCUUACUGUGUUAAUACUACGGGGAAACAAACUUUCUGGAUUAAUUCCACAAAAAAUAGAUUACCUUUCAAAUUUACAGUACCUGAGUCUUAGAGAAAACAUACUCUCGGGUUCCAUCCCAAAUAGCAUAGGAAAUUUGACCAAACUCACAAAUUUGUACCUUAAGAGUAACCAACUUUCUAGCCAAAUUCCACGAGAACUAGGUUAUUUAGCCAACUUAGAGUGGUUGUCUCUUAGAAAUAAUUCACUAACAGGUCCCAUCCCAAAUAACCUUGGCAACCUUACAAAACUCACUACCUUGGACUUUGGGCAGAACCAACUUUCCGGGCCAAUUCCAUGA
This 1179-nucleotide ribosomal RNA is filed under the name Triticum aestivum (bread wheat). RNAcentral's name for it is "partial small subunit ribosomal RNA". The record is from RNAcentral. Lineage: Eukaryota; Viridiplantae; Streptophyta; Magnoliopsida; Poales; Poaceae.